This 631-nucleotide long non-coding RNA is filed under the name Vulpes vulpes (red fox). RNAcentral's name for it is "lncRNA (ENSVVUG00000000275.1)". Lineage: Eukaryota; Metazoa; Chordata; Mammalia; Carnivora; Canidae. The record is from RNAcentral.
GUCCUCUUGUCUACAUCUCCAGAGGGUAAACGCUGAAAGGGCAGGCAUUGUGGCCCUCACGAAAUAGUUAUGGAGAGGAAGGAAGAUGCUGAUUUACUUUGAAGCAUCCUCAACCAGGAUGGAAACAGUCCUAUCUACAGGAUACGGGACCUGUAGAGAGGGAUGAAAAGCUUAGGCUUUCUUAGCCUGAAGAAAACAAAGACACAUUUCCAUGGAUGGCUGAACACUGAUGAAUGCUUCCCAAAUAGAAUUAGCACCACAUCUUGGUUGUCUCCAUUAUGAAAUGUGCACGAAGAGAGACAUCAGAGUCUCUUCCCUAACGUCUGUAUGGCUCUAGUUUCCACAGUCAUUCACAGAAUUUAGAGCAAACAGCCCAUUCUAAAAGGUUAAGUGGAAACAAGUCUGCUUGUGAAUAAUAAUUGCUGGUGGAUUCUGAAGCGUCCACAAGUUCUUGGACAAUCUGGGCCCUCACUUUGUAAUUGUUUAUUAGCCGUUAAAUAAUCAGAUCAGAGGUAGAGCUCGGAGGCUUUGCAAAUUCAUGUCACUCUUACCUGAAGGCACAAAACAGAGGCAGUGUGUCUUCUUCAACGAGGUAGUACAAACCUAUUUUCACAGAAAUCAAGAUAUUGGC